Molecule: ribosomal RNA, 117 nt
Filed under: uncultured bacterium
Lineage: Bacteria
Description: partial 16S ribosomal RNA
Rfam family: Bacterial small subunit ribosomal RNA
Source: RNAcentral
CGUUCCCGGGCCUUGUACACACCGCCCGUCACACCACGAAAGUUGGUAACACCCGAAGCCGGUGGCCCAACCCUUUUGGGAGAGGAGCCGUCGAAGGUGGGAUCAGCGAUUGGGGUG